UACCCCCGCGCGGGAACUAGCAUAUCAAUAAGCGGAGGAAAAGAAACCAACAGGGAUUGCCCUAGUAACGGCGAGUGAAGCGGCAACAGCUCAAAUUUGAAAUCUGGCUCUUUUAGAGUCCGAGUUGUAAUUUGCAGAGGGCGCUUUGGCUUUGGCAGCGGUCCAAGUUCCUUGGAACAGGACGUCACAGAGGGUGAGAAUCCCGUACGUGGUCGCUGGCUAUUGCCGUGUAAAGCCCCUUCGACGAGUCGAGUUGUUUGGGAAUGCAGCUCUAAAUGGGAGGUACAUUUCUUCUAAAGCUAAAUAUUGGCCAGAGACCGAUAGCGCACAAGUAGAGUGAUCGAAAGAUGAAAAGCACUUUGGAAAGAGAGUCAAACAGCACGUGAAAUUGUUGAAAGGGAAGCGCUUGCAGCCAGACUUGCUUGCAGUUGCUCAUCCGGGCUUUUGCCCGGUGCACUCUUCUGUAGGCAGGCCAGCAUCAGUUUGGGCGGUAGGAUAAAGGUCUCUGUCACGUACCUCUCUUCGGGGAGGCCUUAUAGGGGAGACGACAUACUACCAGCCUGGACUGAGGUCCGCGCAUCUGCUAGGAUGCUGGCGUAAUGGCUGUAAGCGGCCCGUCUUGAAACACGGACCAAGGAGUCUAACAUCUAUGCGAGUGUUUGGGUGUCAAGCCCGAGCGCGUAAUGAAAGUGAACGGAGGUGGGAACCCGCAAGGGUGCACCAUCGACCGAUCCUGAUGUCUUCGGAAGGAUUUGAGUAAGAGCAUGGCUGUUGGGACCCGAAAGAUGGUGAACUAUGCUUGAAUAGGGUGAAGCCAGAGGAAACUCUGGUGGAGGCUCGCAGCGGUUCUGACGUGCAAAUCGAUCGUCAAAUUUGGGCAUAGGGGCGAAAGACUAAUCGAGCUAUCUUAUCCCUGC
This 917-nucleotide ribosomal RNA is filed under the name Alternaria botrytis. RNAcentral's name for it is "partial large subunit ribosomal RNA". It matches the Rfam family "Eukaryotic large subunit ribosomal RNA", at positions 24 to 954 of the family's 3401-position model. Lineage: Eukaryota; Fungi; Ascomycota; Dothideomycetes; Pleosporales; Pleosporaceae. The record is from RNAcentral.